CAGCAGCCGCGGUAAUACGUAGGUGGCAAGCGUUGUCCGGAAUUAUUGGGCGUAAAGCGCGCGCAGGUGGUUUAAUAAGUCUGAUGUGAAAGCCCACGGCUCAACCGUGGAGGGUCAUCGGAAUCUGUUAAACUUGAGUGCAGGAGAGAAAAGUGGAAUUCCUAGUGUAGCGGUGAAAUGCGUAGAGAUUAGGAGGAACACCAGUGGCGAAGGCGGCUUUUUGGCCUGUAACUGACACUGAGGCGCGAAAGCGUGGGGAGCAAACAGGAUUAGAUACCCGGGUAGUCCCUGUCUCUUAUAC
This 301-nucleotide ribosomal RNA is filed under the name uncultured bacterium. RNAcentral's name for it is "partial 16S ribosomal RNA". It matches the Rfam family "Bacterial small subunit ribosomal RNA", at positions 509 to 807 of the family's 1533-position model. The record is from RNAcentral.